AGUGAACGCUUUCUUUCGGCCUAACACAUGCAAGUCGAACGGCAGCACAGUAAGAGCUUGCUCUUACGGGUGGCGAGUGGCGGACGGGUGAGGAAUACAUCGGAAUCUACUUUUUCGUGGGGGAUAACGUAGGGAAACUUACGCUAAUACCGCAUACGACCUACGGGUGAAAGCAGGGGAUCUUCGGACCUUGCGCGAUUGAAUGAGCCGAUGUCGGAUUAGCUAGUUGGCGGGGUAAAGGCCCACCAAGGCGACGAUCCGUAGCUGGUCUGAGAGGAUGAUCAGCCACACUGGAACUGAGACACGGUCCAGACUCCUACGGGAGGCAGCAGUGGGGAAUAUUGGACAAUGGGCGCAAGCCUGAUCCAGCCAUACCGCGUGGGUGAAGAAGGCCUUCGGGUUGUAAAGCCCUUUUGUUGGGAAAGAAAAGCAGCAGGUUAAUACCCCGCUGUUCUGACGGUACCCAAAGAAUAAGCACCGGCUAACUUCGUG
This 492-nucleotide ribosomal RNA is filed under the name uncultured bacterium. RNAcentral describes it as "partial 16S ribosomal RNA". It matches the Rfam family "Bacterial small subunit ribosomal RNA", at positions 29 to 507 of the family's 1533-position model. The record is from RNAcentral.